Molecule: ribosomal RNA, 253 nt
Filed under: uncultured bacterium
Lineage: Bacteria
Description: partial 16S ribosomal RNA
Rfam family: Bacterial small subunit ribosomal RNA
Source: RNAcentral
UACAGAGGUCCCAAGCGUUGUUCGGAUUCAUUGGGCGUAAAGGGUGCGUAGGCGGCGCGUUAAGUCGGGUGUGAAAUCUCGGAGCUUAACUCCGAAACUGCAUUCGAUACUGCCGUGCUUGAGGACUGGAGAGGAGACUGGAAUUUACGGUGUAGCGGUGAAAUGCGUAGAUAUCGUAAGGAAGACCAGUGGCGAAGGCGGGUCUCUGGACAGUUCCUGACGCUGAGGCACGAAGGCCAGGGGAGCAAACGGG